This is a long non-coding RNA of Sebastes umbrosus (honeycomb rockfish), 164 nucleotides long. RefSeq lists it as uncharacterized. The transcript is spliced from 3 exons. The record is from RefSeq and is a predicted model, not a curated record. NCBI's taxonomy places the organism in Eukaryota, Metazoa, Chordata, Actinopteri, Perciformes, Sebastidae.
UUUGUGUUGGAGGGGGGUUCUCUGUAAGGUUAAGGUCCUCACCUAACAUUGAAAGCUUCAUAGCAUUCUUUUUCUUCAUAUGUUUCAGAGAUGAAAAGUAAAGACACAGCUCCUUAUGAAAAACAUAGAAAUUUGGUCUUGAUUUCAGGAAUCUAUUUUUAUGU